AGUGAACGCUGGCGGCGUGCCUAAUACAUGCAAGUCGAACGAAGUGGCGCACGGGUGAGUAAUAUAUAGUUAAUCUGCGCUACACAGAGGAACAACAGUUGGAAACGGCUGCUAAUACCUCAUAGUGUAGGAUGAGACUAUAUCGUAUCAGCUAGUUGGUAAGGUACUGGCGUACCAAGGCUAUGACGCGUAACUGGUCUGAGAGGAUGAUCAGUACAAUUGGAACUGAGACACGGUCCAAACUCCUACGGGAGGCAGCGGUAAGGAAUAUUGCGCAAUGGGCGAGUCCCUGGCGGAUCUUCGCCGUGUGGAGGAUGUUACUUUGCGGGGCGUAAACUCCUUUUAUCAGGAAAGCGGUACCUGAAGAAUAAGCACCGGCUAACUCCGUGCCAGCAGCCGCGGUAAUUC
RNAcentral lists this ribosomal RNA (408 nucleotides) under uncultured bacterium. RNAcentral's name for it is "partial 16S ribosomal RNA". It matches the Rfam family "Bacterial small subunit ribosomal RNA", at positions 29 to 526 of the family's 1533-position model. The record is from RNAcentral.